UACGUAGGGUGCAAGCGUUGUCCGGAAUUAUUGGGCGUAAAGAGCGUGUAGGCGGCCUGAAAGGUCAGCUGUGAAAACUCGAGGCUCAACCUCGAGACGUCGGUUGAAACCAUCUGGCUAGAGUCCGGAAGAGGAGUGUGGAAUUCCCGGUGUAGCGGUGAAAUGCGCAGAUAUCGGGAGGAACACCGAUGGCGAAGGCAGAUCUCUGGGCCGUAACUGACGCUGAGGAGCGAAAGCAUGGGGAGCGAACAGG
RNAcentral lists this ribosomal RNA (253 nucleotides) under uncultured bacterium. RNAcentral describes it as "partial 16S ribosomal RNA". It matches the Rfam family "Bacterial small subunit ribosomal RNA", at positions 524 to 776 of the family's 1533-position model. The record is from RNAcentral.